UGAGGAAUAUUGGUCAAUGGGCGCAAGCCUGAACCAGCCAUGCCGCGUGCAGGAAGACGGUCCUAUGGAUUGUAAACUGCUUUUAUUUGGGAAUAAACCUCUUUACGUGUAGAGAGCUGAAGGUACCAAAUGAAUAAGCACCGGCUAACUCCGUGCCAGCAGCCGCGGUAAUACGGAGGGUGCAAGCGUUAUCCGGAAUCAUUGGGUUUAAAGGGUCCGCAGGCGGCCUUAUAAGUCAGUGGUGAAAGCCUACAGCUCAACUGUAGAACUGCCAUUGGUACUGUAAGACUUGAAUUCGCUCGAAGUAAUCGUAAUAUGACGUGUAGCGGUGAAAUGCUUAGAUAGGUCAUAGAACACCGAGAGCGAAGGCAGCUCACUAGUUCUGAAUUGGCGCUCAGGGACGAAAGCGUGGGGAGCAAACA
This 422-nucleotide ribosomal RNA is filed under the name uncultured bacterium. Its description in RNAcentral is "bacterial SSU rRNA". It matches the Rfam family "Bacterial small subunit ribosomal RNA", at positions 355 to 774 of the family's 1533-position model. The record is from RNAcentral.